UCAACAUUAGGUUUUAGAGUACAAACUAGAUUCUGACCCGCCCUUAAUUGGUAAUUUAAAUAUAGGUCUAAUGACAUAAAACAUAAUAAAUAAUAUUUUAAAUAAUGAUAAAGAUAAAAGAAAUAGUUGUUGGAUCCAACUUUUAUCAAUGGGUCAAACAGGUGUUUUAAUAGAAUAGAUAUUUUUAACUAAUUACGUUAAUAAAUCAAAAUGUUAAUAAAUGUAAAAAAAAUUCUGAUUUUAUUUAAAUCUGAUUACAUAUUUCAUAAUCAAAAUUAUUUAUAUUAGAAUAUUAAACAUAUUAUAAUAUGCACAAAUUCAAUACAAUUAUCAAAACCAUUACUAAUCAUCUAAAAAUAUAUAUAUUUUACACAAAUAUGAUUAUAAAAAAUACAAAUAUGAUGGGGAAAAUUACAUGUUUACCACUUUUAUGCUACCACUUUUCAUUUUUACCACUACUAAAGGGACAUUUUCAAAAAUACCGUCUUCAUUAAGUGACAAAAGACUCUUAUGUCAUUGUUAUUUAUGUAUAUAAUAAAUAAAUAUUUAAAUAAAUAAAAAUCUAAAAAAAUAAAAAAAAUAAUUUUUUAAUUUUUUUUGAAUUAUGCUAUUUCGAAAUUCAAACCCUAAACUCUAAAACUCAACUCUAAACCCUAAACCAUCAAUCCUAAACCCUAUUUUCUUUUUGAAAUACGAACUCUAAACCCAAAACCAUCAAUCCUAAACCCUUUUUUUUUUUGAAAUAUGAACCCUAAACCCUGAAACAUCAACUCUAAACCCUAAACUCCGAAACAUCAACUCUAAACCUUAAACUCUAAACCAUGAACUCUAAACCCAAAAACAUCAAUCCUAAACCCUAAACCAUGAACUUCAACUUUAAACCCCUAAACCAUCAACACUAAACCCUAAACUAUCAACACUAAACCCUAAACCCUAAAAAGUAAACUCAAAACCCUAAACCUUAAAAAAUUAACCCUAAACCCUAAAACAUCAACUCUAAACCCUAAACCCUAAACCUUCAACUCUAAACCCUAAACUCUAAACCCUAAAUCCUAAACCCUAAACCCAAAAACCGUAGAGUUGAUGUUUUACGGUUUAGAUUUGAAUGUUUAGGGUUUUAGGGUUUAGGAUUUUAGGGUUUAGGGUUUACGCUUAGGGUGUAUAGUAGAUAUUUUAGGGUUUAGAUUUGAAGGUUUAGGGUUAUAGGGUUUAGGGUUCGAAUUUCAGAAAAAUCUAGGGUUUAGGGUUUACGUUUAGGGUUUAGAUUUGUUGUUUUAUGGUUUAGAUUUGAAGGUUUAGAGUUUAGGGUUUAGAGUUGAUGUUUCGGAGUUUAGGGUUUAGAGUUGAUGUUUCAUAGUUUAGGGUUUAGAGUUGAUGAUUUAGGGUUUAAAGUUGAUGUUUUAAGUUUAGAUUUAGGGUUUAGGGUUUACAUUUAGGGUUUAGAGUUGAUGUUUUAGGGUUUAGAUUUGAAGGUUUAGGGUUUAGUGUCUAGGGUUUAGAGUUGAUGUUUCGGGGUUUAGGGUUUAGAGUUGAUGUUUCAUGGUUUAGGGUUUAGAGUUUAUGAUUUAGGGUUUAGAGUUGAUGUUUUAAGUUUAGAUUU
RNAcentral lists this long non-coding RNA (1600 nucleotides) under Brassica napus (rape). RNAcentral describes it as "long non-coding RNA (BNAP_LNC015577)". Lineage: Eukaryota; Viridiplantae; Streptophyta; Magnoliopsida; Brassicales; Brassicaceae. The record is from RNAcentral.